AGACGUAGGGCGCGAGCGUUGUCCGGAUUUAUUGGGCGUAAAGAGCUCGUAGGCGGCUUGUCGCGUCGACUGUGAAAACCCGCAGCUCAACUGCGGGCCUGCAGCCGAUACGGGCAGGCUAGAGUUCGGUAGGGGAGACUGGAAUUCCUGGUGUAGCGGUGAAAUGCGCAGAUAUCAGGAGGAACACCGGUGGCGAAGGCGGGUCUCUGGGCCGAUACUGACGCUGAGGAGCGAAAGCGUGGGGAGCGAACAGGAUUAGAUACCCUGGUAGUCCACGCUGUAAACGUUGGGCGCUAGGUGUGGGGGGCCUCUCCGGUUCUCUGUGCCGUAGCUAGCGCAUUAAGCGCCCCGCCUGGGGAGUACGGCCGCAAGGCUAAA
RNAcentral lists this ribosomal RNA (378 nucleotides) under uncultured bacterium. RNAcentral's name for it is "bacterial SSU rRNA". It matches the Rfam family "Bacterial small subunit ribosomal RNA", at positions 523 to 898 of the family's 1533-position model. The record is from RNAcentral.